ACGCUCGACACCUACGGAGGCAGCAGUGGGGAAUAUUGCACAAUGGGGGAAACCCUGAUGCAGCGACGCCGCGUGAGCGAAGAAGUAUUUCGGUAUGUAAAGCUCUAUCAGCAGGGAAGAAACUGACGGUACCUGACUAAGAAGCACCGGCUAAAUACGUGCCGNAGCCGCGGUAAUCUGAGCGGGCUGGCAAGGC
Molecule: ribosomal RNA, 196 nt
Filed under: uncultured bacterium
Lineage: Bacteria
Description: partial 16S ribosomal RNA
Rfam family: Bacterial small subunit ribosomal RNA
Source: RNAcentral